UACCAGCACCCCGAGUGGUCGGGACGAUUAUUGGGCCUAAAGCAUCCGUAGCCGGUUCUACAAGUCUUCCGUUAAAUCCACCUGCUUAACAGAUGGGCUGCGGAGGAUACUAUAGAGCUAGGAGGCGGGAGAGGCAAGCGGUACUUAGUGGGUAGGGGUAAAAUCCCGUUGAUCCAUUGAAGACCACCAGUGGCGAAGGCGGCUUGCCAGAACGCACUCGACGGUGAGGGAUGAAAGCUGGGGGAGCAA
This 249-nucleotide ribosomal RNA is filed under the name uncultured bacterium. RNAcentral describes it as "partial 16S ribosomal RNA". It matches the Rfam family "Archaeal small subunit ribosomal RNA", at positions 474 to 722 of the family's 1478-position model. The record is from RNAcentral.